UACGUAGGGGGCAAGCGUUGUCCGGAAUCAUUGGGCGUAAAGAGCGUGUAGGCGGCCCGGUAAGUCCGCUGUGAAAGUCGGGGCUCAACCCUCGAAUGCCGGUGGAUACUGUCGGGCUAGAGUGCGGAAGAGGCGAGUGGAAGUUCCUGGUGUAGCGGUGAAAUGACGCAGAUAUCAGGAGGAACACCAAUUGCGAAGGCAGCUCGCUGGGACGUAACUGACGCUGAGACGCGAAAGCGUGGGGAGCAAACAGG
This 254-nucleotide ribosomal RNA is filed under the name uncultured bacterium. RNAcentral's name for it is "partial 16S ribosomal RNA". It matches the Rfam family "Bacterial small subunit ribosomal RNA", at positions 524 to 776 of the family's 1533-position model. The record is from RNAcentral.